GACGAACGCUGGCGGCGUGCUUAACACAUGCAAGUCGAACGGAAAGGCCUGCUUUCCCUUGUGGAUUGCGGGUACUCGAGUGGCGAUCGGGUGAGUAACACGUGAGUGAUCUGCCCCCAACUUGGGUAUAAGCCUGGGAAACUGGGUCUAAUUCCCGAUAGGACUGCAGGGUGGUGCCUGUGGUGGAAAACGAUUUUCUAGUGGUUGGGGAUGAGCUCGCGGCCUAUCAGCUUGUUGGUGGGGUAAUGGCCUACCAAGGCGGCGACGGGUAGCCGGCCUGAGAGGGUGGACGGCCACAUUGGGACUGAGAUACGGCCCAGACUCCUACGGGAGGCAGCAGUGGGGAAUAUUGCACAAUGGGCGGAAGCCUGAUGCAGCGACGCCGCGUGGGGGAUGACGGCCUUCGGGUUGUAAACUCCUUUCGACCGCGAGGAAGCCACCUGGUUGGAAGGGUGGUGACGGUAGUGGUAGAAGAAGCACCGGCUAACUACGUG
RNAcentral lists this ribosomal RNA (494 nucleotides) under uncultured bacterium. RNAcentral's name for it is "partial 16S ribosomal RNA". It matches the Rfam family "Bacterial small subunit ribosomal RNA", at positions 28 to 507 of the family's 1533-position model. The record is from RNAcentral.